Molecule: long non-coding RNA, 618 nt
Organism: Gallus gallus (chicken)
Lineage: Eukaryota; Metazoa; Chordata; Aves; Galliformes; Phasianidae
Source: Ensembl
CCAGCCAGCUCCAGGAACAGAAGCAUGAAUGAGCAGUUGUGGGUACCUGUCCAGAAGAGAAUAAGAAGUACAUAUCCUGGAAGACUUUGUGUUCAGAGAGGAGAUAUAAGCCCUGGCAAGGUCACCUGAUGUUCCUUUUUUUAGCUCUCCCUUGCCUCUGCUGCUUGACCCGACUGCGCAUCUCACCUCAGUGGUGCUGUUACUGAAAGAUUCCUGAGAAUUUAUCGAGAAGAAAAAACAGUUCAGCUUUAGGUAUGGAUUGGACACUGAAGACAAUACGAUUUUUCUUGAUCAUCAGAACCUUUGGAAUUCAGGUUUUCAGGUUUGUCCAUUAAGCCAAUUUAUACUGCAUAGGAGGAAAGUAGUCACUCUUAACCUUGAACUAUAAGAAAUUUAACUGAGCCAUAAAUUGUGGAAUAAUUUGGAGCAGAAAAUGUGUGCUUGUUCCUCAAGAGACUGAUUUUUAAUUAGUCACUUUCAAAAAUCCUUAAUUCAGAUGCCAUGAAUACCAAAUAACCUUACUUGGCCUCACUUCUUUUAUUUAUGCACCUUAUUCUGUAGUGAAUUCAUCCAAUGAUGGCUUCAGGCACAGAAAAUUUUAGGUAGUUAGUAAGAGCA